AUUGCCGCCAUACUGAAGCAAUAAAGAUGGUUGCGGUGAUGGAGCACCUUGCUGAAGAUUUGUAUAAAAUAAGAAGGUCCAGUUCCUGGCAAUCUCCAAGAAUAGAAUACAGAAUGCUGGAACCAUGUUGUUUACUUGGAGCUGAAAAAAGUUGGGCCAGGCCAGUGGAAAUAAUGGUAUGCAAUCUUCAAUAGCUGCUCAAUGAACCAUCACUACCUUGCCUGUCAAUACACUGGAUAUGCAGAUUUUGACAUUGGAAGAGAGGUGACUAAAGAAGCCAUGUCGGCA
Long non-coding RNA from Pecten maximus, 288 nucleotides. RefSeq lists it as uncharacterized. The transcript is spliced from 3 exons. The record is from RefSeq and is a predicted model, not a curated record. Lineage: Eukaryota; Metazoa; Mollusca; Bivalvia; Pectinida; Pectinidae.